UACGAAGGGGGCUAGCGUUGCUCGGAAUGACUGGGCGUAAAGGGCGCGUAGGCGGCUUGCACCGUCAGAUGUGAAAUUCCUGGGCUUAACCUGGGGGCUGCAUUUGAUACGUGUGGGCUUGAGUGCGGAAGAGGGUCGUGGAAUUCCCAGUGUAGAGGUGAAAUGCGUAGAUAUCGGGAGGAACACCAGUGGCGAAGGCGACUACCUGGCCUGUUCUUGACGCUGAGGCGCGAAAGCUAGGGGAGCAAACGGG
This 253-nucleotide ribosomal RNA is filed under the name uncultured bacterium. RNAcentral's name for it is "partial 16S ribosomal RNA". It matches the Rfam family "Bacterial small subunit ribosomal RNA", at positions 524 to 776 of the family's 1533-position model. The record is from RNAcentral.